GGCUACGAACUUAACUCCAACCCAAUGUGAACGUUACCAAACUGUUGCCUCGGCGGGAUCUCUGCCCCGGGUGCGUCGCAGCCCCGGACCAAGGCGCCCGCCGGAGGACCAACCAAAACUCUUAUUGUAUACCCCCUCGCGGGUUUUUUUUAUAAUCUGAGCCUUCUCGGCGCCUCUCGUAGGCGUUUCGAAAAUGAAUCAAAACUUUCAACAACGGAUCUCUUGGUUCUGGCAUCGAUGAAGAACGCAGCGAAAUGCGAUAAGUAAUGUGAAUUGCAGAAUUCAGUGAAUCAUCGAAUCUUUGAACGCACAUUGCGCCCGCCAGUAUUCUGGCGGGCAUGCCUGUCCGAGCGUCAUUUCAACCCUCGAACCCCUCCGGGGGGUCGGCGUUGGGGAUCGGCCCUGCCUUGGCGGUGGCCGUCUCCGAAAUACAGUGGCGGUCUCGCCGCAGCCUCUCCUGCGCAGUAGUUUGCACACUCGCAUCGGGAGCGCGGCGCGUCCACAGCCGUUAAACACCCAACUUCUGAAAUGUUGACCUCGGAUCAGGUAGGAAUACCCGCUGAACUUAAGCAUAUCAAUAAGCCGGAAGAA
Molecule: ribosomal RNA, 591 nt
Filed under: Trichoderma harzianum
Lineage: Eukaryota; Fungi; Ascomycota; Sordariomycetes; Hypocreales; Hypocreaceae
Description: eukaryotic LSU rRNA
Rfam family: 5.8S ribosomal RNA (bases 203-356)
Source: RNAcentral